GGCGGGAUAGCUCAGUUGGCUAGAGCGGCGGAUUCAUAACCCGCAGGUUGAGGGUUCGAACCCCUCUCCCGCCA
RNAcentral lists this transfer RNA (74 nucleotides) under Planctomycetota bacterium. Its description in RNAcentral is "Planctomycetes bacterium (sediment metagenome) tRNA-Met". It matches the Rfam family "tRNA". Rfam says of the family: Transfer RNA (tRNA) molecules are approximately 80 nucleotides in length. Their secondary structure includes four short double-helical elements and three loops (D, anti-codon, and T loops). Further hydrogen bonds mediate the characteristic L-shaped molecular structure. tRNAs have two regions of fundamental functional importance: the anti-codon, which is responsible for specific mRNA codon recognition, and the 3' end, to which the tRNAs corresponding amino acid is attached (by aminoacyl-tRNA synthetases). tRNAs cope with the degeneracy of the genetic code in two manners: having more than one tRNA (with a specific anti-codon) for a particular amino acid; and 'wobble' base-pairing, i.e. permitting non-standard base-pairing at the 3rd anti-codon position. Lineage: Bacteria; Pseudomonadati; Planctomycetota. The record is from RNAcentral.